Long non-coding RNA from Alligator mississippiensis (American alligator), 3829 nucleotides. RefSeq lists it as uncharacterized. The transcript is spliced from 2 exons. The record is from RefSeq and is a predicted model, not a curated record. Lineage: Eukaryota; Metazoa; Chordata; Crocodylia; Alligatoridae.
AAGGAGGCUGCAGAAGGAGGGAGAGAGAAAGAGAAAAGGAGCCUUAUGAAGUCCUUCCAGAUGUUGCUGGAGCCCUUUGAACAGGGACAGGAACCUCCGUGGGAAAGUCCAGUUGGGUCCUGACACCCAUGAAUUCAGCCCGAGGCCGCGGGGUUGAUCCACUCGCACAGUUCCCCUCCCCUGUCCCUCCACUGUCAGGUGUGGCCGAAGUCCUGCUCCUUCCCCGCAGGGAUGCUCACAGCAAAGUCAGCGGCACUUGAGGGGGACACCUCCCACGUACUUCCUGCGAGGAAGGACAUGAGUGGAAGUCCCAGUGGUGUUAAAAGUGCCAGCCCCAAGAUGGCUUUAGUCCUCAACUCUGAGCAGGGACAGGGACAGGGACAGGGACAGGCAGCACAUUGGGAGCCAGGAGCUUGUUGCAUGUGAGUGCAUGCAAGUGUGUGUCUGUGCAUGCAUGUGUGUGUGUGUGCAUAUGUGUGUUUGUGUAUGUGCGGGUGAGUGCGUGGGUGCAUUCAUGUGUAUGCAUAUGUAUGUGCACCUGUGCAUACAUUGUGUGUGUGUGUGCAUGCAUGUGUGAGUGUGUAUGGGGAGGCAUGUGUGAGCAUGUUGCAUGUUCGUUCCACGGGUGCAUGCAUUGCUAGCACCCAGUAUUUAGGUCUUUCCUAUAAAAGGUGAUUUCCGCUCUGCCGAAGAAGCGGGGCAGCCUACGCUGCUCCCCCAGGCCUGUGCAGUGUGACCCCAGGGAAGUCGUGUCUGGGGUUGGGGCCUGUGUGAUUCCUGGCAGGCUUUGUUGAGAGAGUCUGCUGAACAUGGGGAUUUUACCCCUGUCCCUGGAGAAGCUGAAGCUUGUGCUGGCCUGUGCCCAUUGCAGUCGUUGUACCCUGCAGAGCUGCUCUUGCUGCCCCUGUGCCAGGACCCAUUUCAAACCAGGCCUGUGCUGCCAGCCUGCUCCCGUGGCCUGGGGAGUGCUUGGAGGCAGUCAUAGAUGCAUAGACUCAUACAAAAUGAGGGCUGGAAGGGACCUCAGGAGUCUCUAGUCCAACUCCCUGCUAGCCCCAACUACAUAAUCCCAACAAGGGCUUUGUAGAGCUUAAACACCUCCAAGGAUGGAGUUUUGCAGUGGUGAUGCAUAGGGGGUGCAUGGGGGUGCAUGUGCACCCCCUGACAGCACUGGUGCACUCCCUGACAGCCAGUGCUCCUGGGCAGGGGGCGGGGCAGGUAAGAGCACUGGUGCUCCCCCUGAGAGCGCCAGCAGAGAUGGGGGGGCCAGGAGAAGCGGUCCCCCUAUGGCCAACUGCGCUCACCUGGAAGCCACUUGUGGGUCGGCGGGAUUGGCCAUGGGGGGAGCCCCUCCCUCCAGUCUGGGGGGUUGCUGACUGGGGCAAGUGCCCCCCUGACUCAGGAAGCACCAGUCAUCCAUGCAGCUUCUACCACCUCCAUAGGUAACCUGUUCCAGUGCUUCACAGUCAUCACCCUCCUCAUGAGAGUUUUUCCUCAUAUCCAACCUCAACUUCCCUUGCUGUGACUUGAGCCCAUUGCUCCUUGUCCUGUCAUCUGCCCCACUGAGACCGGUCCAGCUCCAUCCUCUUUGCAGCCCCCCUGCAGGGAGUUGAAGACUGCUAUUCAAUCCCCCUCAGUCUUCUUUUCUAUGUAGUAAUUGGUAACUUUCCUCUUCACACAGCUUUGCCCAUGUGUCUGUCACAUGGGUUUUAAAGUGCUUUCAACUCUCUAGGAAGCAUUUAUAACUGAGAUGUGCUGUUUGCUUCUGUUUAUUCAGGUGAGACCAAAACCUCUGUUGCUGAAGCUGCUGGAGUUUGCAGGGGCAAAACAGGAUAUUUUUACUCUGAAGGAGGUAAUAUUCUAUCGUGGCCAAUAUGUCUAAACAAUUGUAUGAUGAAACGAAGCAGUGCAUGUGAUCUUUUGGGGAUGUCUUUGGAGUACCAUGCUUUUCAAUAACAAUAUAGGUAACGUUUUGUGUUCCUUGUGAGUGAUCAGUACUGCUGUGAAAACGAUGUGAAGUGAAUUUACGGUGUGUUUUGCAAUGGGUUGCAUUUUUUAGUUGCAUGAAGCCAUAUGUAUAAGGCACACCACCUUGCCCAGGUUUCUCUCUGAAGCCCCGGCUUGUCCUAGGUUUAUUUCCAGAGCUGCCAUGCCUCACAAGCUCUACACGCUCCAGAAGUGCAGCAGUUUGCAGCCUGCGCUGUCUUCUGAAGGAAUUUCUCAACUCUGAGGAACAGCAACAUAACUUAGACAGCAUGCAAACACUAAACUGUCCGUGAAAAAUAAUCUGAACCGUGACUACAGUUCACCAAACUACCGGUUUAGUGAGGGGGUAUUAGUAGACAAAACCACAUCUUUCAAAAUACUUCCCAUCAGUUUUUUUUAAAGAAAUGUCAAAACAGAAACAUCUUGUUUUGGUGAGGAAAACUUGCCUUUUUCCAUUCAAAAAGUGUGGAAGGCAAGGAAGAUUAGAAGAAGUCAGGCUUGUUUUCACCUAGGAAGUAACUGAAGCAUUGGUGGUUCAAUGUUCAAAUUCCUGCUUGCUAUAUAGGAGAGCUAGGUUCAGUUCCCAGCUAAUACAGAUGCUACUUGGGAAUACUUUGUAUGUUAGCAGUCUGAGGUCAUCCUUGACAGGUAGUGGUUUUUCUGGGUAAGGCAUCUGGCUGGGGACACCUGACCCCAAGGCUCUUUCCUGCCUAUGUAGGGGGUCAGACUCGAUGAUCCGUUGAGGUUGCUUCCUGUGGCGGGCCAGUAGGGGGCGCUCCUGCAUUGAGCUGCCCACCUUCCUGCUCCCGCCCACCUUCCAGGCUCCAAGUGCCUCCCUGGGGUGCCUCCCAUCCGGCUGACCCCUUCCCUGGAGCACACCCGCUAGCCUGGGGUUCCCGCUGCCACCAUCCAAGGCUCUGGACUCACUUCUGGCUCUGCGCACCUUGGAGAACACAGGCCUGAUCGUCCAAUGGGUCCUAGACCCAAUACAGGCACUUGGGGAACUUUCCCAAGUCAGGGGCUCAUUAGGAAAGCCUCCCUUAGUCCACAGACCUAAUGGGCCUCCUCGGCAUAAUGUAGACCCACCCCUCAAUAAGUCUCCCAGACCGGUCACAAGGAGAACUUUAUUGAUGACAGGGGGUAAGUUUGAAACAGGGUAAAAGGUAGAGCUAUAUCAUAGGAAUAUCAGAGGGAUCCCAUAGAGCAAACCAGUAUGGCUGAGGAAGUCUUUUGAUCACGCAUCUGAGUUACUGUAAGCUAAAUAUCUAGUGGGAUCUCGAGUAGCUUACUCACUCGCAUCAUCCAGAGGUGGUUGGAGUUUCCUCUGGAGGCAGGGCACUCUCUGAGCAUGCGGUUAUGAGGAGAGAGCCCAUUUCAGAUGGUGAAGCUCCUCUCCCAGUUUCAGAUUCACCCGCAUGACCGCAUGGCUAGUGGCUCUCUUCUUCCUGGACCAUGCCUUUAAAUAACCUCUCUGACCUCAGCAGCCUGGUCCAAUCGAAGCUGCCAGUGCUGGCCACUAGCCAACCAAUUUGAAAAGCAUCACUGGUCACCUGGGCUGGUGGGCGGAGCUUUUCCCUCCCCCCUGCCCCCCCAAGUGACCAGAGCAUCCACCUCCCAGGCACCAGGCUCGUGUCAUGUAGACAGGGAGGAACAUCCCCACCCUGAGGGAUUCAACACCAGCCUCUCAUGCUGGCAGAGACAGAUCUCUGGAGAGGGGCGCGGACGGUGGCAUUUCUGACACACUUCCAACCCUGGCAUCUAUGAAACAGUCAGUUUCCAAACAUUAAAAAAAAAUUGAGUAAGAGAUCACUUUUCCAUCUCUCUCGUAUUUUUUCACAAAAUA